RNAcentral lists this ribosomal RNA (851 nucleotides) under Limosilactobacillus fermentum. RNAcentral's name for it is "bacterial SSU rRNA". It matches the Rfam family "Bacterial small subunit ribosomal RNA", at positions 1 to 813 of the family's 1533-position model. The record is from RNAcentral. Lineage: Bacteria; Bacillati; Bacillota; Bacilli; Lactobacillales; Lactobacillaceae.
UUAGGUUUGGAAUCCUGCUCAGGAUGAACGCCGGCGGUGUGCCUAAUACAUGCAAGUCGAACGCGUUGGCCCAAUUGAUUGAUGGUGCUUGCACCUGAUUGAUUUUGGUCGCCAACGAGUGGCGGACGGGUGAGUAACACGUAGGUAACCUGCCCAGAAGCGGGGGACAACAUUUGGAAACAGAUGCUAAUACCGCAUAACAACGUUGUUCGCAUGAACAACGCUUAAAAGAUGGCUUCUCGCUAUCACUUCUGGAUGGACCUGCGGUGCAUUAGCUUGUUGGUGGGGUAACGGCCUACCAAGGCGAUGAUGCAUAGCCGAGUUGAGAGACUGAUCGGCCACAAUGGGACUGAGACACGGCCCAUACUCCUACGGGAGGCAGCAGUAGGGAAUCUUCCACAAUGGGCGCAAGCCUGAUGGAGCAACACCGCGUGAGUGAAGAAGGGUUUCGGCUCGUAAAGCUCUGUUGUUAAAGAAGAACACGUAUGAGAGUAACUGUUCAUACGUUGACGGUAUUUAACCAGAAAGUCACGGCUAACUACGUGCCAGCAGCCGCGGUAAUACGUAGGUGGCAAGCGUUAUCCGGAUUUAUUGGGCGUAAAGAGAGUGCAGGCGGUUUUCUAAGUCUGAUGUGAAAGCCUUCGGCUUAACCGGAGAAGUGCAUCGGAAACUGGAUAACUUGAGUGCAGAAGAGGGUAGUGGAACUCCAUGUGUAGCGGUGGAAUGCGUAGAUAUAUGGAAGAACACCAGUGGCGAAGGCGGCUACCUGGUCUGCAACUGACGCUGAGACUCGAAAGCAUGGGUAGCGAACAGGAUUAGAUACCCUGGUAGUCCAUGCCGUAAACGAUGAG